AUGUAUUGCAUUUCGAUUUCGAUUGUGACUUGUUUUCCCUGUAACUUUUGCUGGAAAAAAUUAAGAAAAAUUACUCCUAUCUCUGAUGUCAGUAACAGACUUCCCAUAUACACUGUUGGGAAUGGAGAUAGCGACCCUGAUCCUGAGAAACAGGAGUCACCCAGACCAUCCUAUCCAGCACCUGUGGCCGGGGGAAUCCCAAGCUUCCAAAGGAAUCCAAAAGUGGUCCCACAGGGGGAAAAUGAUAGAAAUGUUGCCUGGCAGUCGUUUUGGACGAGACGAAAAGUGGCCCCACAGGUGAAAAAAUUACCUAUGGUAAUACAAACAAGAUUGUUAUUUCAUAUCUCCUCUGUAUUCCUUCCAUGCAUUUUCACGCAUAAAUAUUUUCUUUUAAUUCUUUUUCUCUUACUUAAAAAUAUUUUUCUAUUAAGUACGUUGAUUUUUUAAAUUUCCUAUUCUUAAAGUGUAUUUUAUCAAAAUUAUCCAUUAAUACUUAACACCAAAAUUCUUCCAAUUAAGUUGGGAAAAGAAAUGAUUUAAGUCAAAUUAAAAACAAAUUAAAAAGAUUGCAUUUAAUGGUAAUAUGAAGGAAAUUACUUUGUACAUUAAAUAAUAGUGCCAAAUGAAUCUUCUCUCCGUAAAUAUGGAUCUCAAAUUUAAAAUGUUUAGGUUACAGUUCUAUUCAAAAAAGAAGGUGAGGAAUUCAGUGUGAAGUUUGGUGGCCAAAUAAAUCAUUUUAUAAAAA
Long non-coding RNA from Sarcophilus harrisii (Tasmanian devil), 745 nucleotides. NCBI's taxonomy places the organism in Eukaryota, Metazoa, Chordata, Mammalia, Dasyuromorphia, Dasyuridae. The record is from Ensembl.